UUCGCCUUUUACUAAAGAUUUCCGUGGAGA
This 30-nucleotide non-coding RNA is filed under the name Callithrix jacchus (white-tufted-ear marmoset). RNAcentral also lists the same sequence under 2 other names. The record is from RNAcentral. Lineage: Eukaryota; Metazoa; Chordata; Mammalia; Primates; Cebidae.